Molecule: ribosomal RNA, 112 nt
Filed under: Caerostris darwini
Lineage: Eukaryota; Metazoa; Arthropoda; Arachnida; Araneae; Araneidae
Source: RNAcentral
AACGGCCAUACCAUGCUGAAUAUACCGGUUCUCGUUAGAUCACCGAAGUGAAGCUUCAUCGGGCGCGGUCAGUACUUGGGUGGGUGACCACCUGGGAACACCGCGUGCCGUU